This 921-nucleotide long non-coding RNA is filed under the name Marmota monax (woodchuck). Lineage: Eukaryota; Metazoa; Chordata; Mammalia; Rodentia; Sciuridae. The record is from RNAcentral.
AUCUGAACGUCAGGAUCAAAGCUACAAAAUCAGGGACAUUUUCCUGACUCUGGAUUUGGCAAUAACUUUAUGGAUAUGACACCAAAAGUACUGGCAACAGAAACAAAAUGAAACCAAGCCAGAUAAAUAGGGCUGCAACAAUAUCCCAUCUGAGUUUCUGGCUUAGUUUUUUAUAAUAACCUCUUUCUAUUCUUUAAUAUCUGUAGGAUCUUUAUUGAUGACCGAUUUUAGUAAUGUGUUGUCUCUUUUUUUAAAAAAAAAUUUCAUUACUUUUUUCAAUGACCCAAUCUUUUGCCUUACUAAUCUUCUCUGUUGUAUAUCUGCUUUACAUUUCAUUAAUUUUUUUGUUGUUCUUAUUUUUUGUUAUUUCCUUUUUUUCCCUCUUUCUUAGGUUUCAUUGCUGGGCUUCUCCAACUUCUCCACAUGCAUUAAAAACUAUAAAUUUCUUUCCCUUAACUGCUUUAGCUGUUUAUCUCGGGUUGUGGGUGGUAUUUAUAUUUUCAUUCCCGUCAAAACAUUUUCUAAUUUUUCUGUGUGAUUUCUUCCUUGACCUACAGGUUAUUUAGAAGCGUUUGGUUUAACUUCCAAACAUGUGGGGUGUCUAAUCGUCUUUCUUUUGUUCAUUUAUGGUUUAAUUCCACUUUGGUCAGAGAUCAGUCCCAGCAUGAUUUCACCUUUUGAAAUUUGUUAAGACUUGCUUCAUGAUCCAACGCAUGUCCUGUUUUGGUAAAUAUGUCCUGGAGAAGAACAUAUGUUCUCUAGUCUCUGGGUGUAUUGUUCUAUAAACGUCAAUUAGGUCAAGUUGAUUAAUUCUCUUGUUCCUAUUUUCUCUAAACUUUCUUGCUUUUUAAUCUGAUUCUUCUAUCAGUUGCUGAAAGAUGUUCAUUAAAAUGUCCAGCCAUGAUAACAGAUUUGCCUGUG